Castellaniella defragrans 65Phen is the source of this 404-nucleotide non-coding RNA. It matches the Rfam family "Bacterial RNase P class A". From Rfam's summary of the family: Ribonuclease P (RNase P) is a ubiquitous endoribonuclease, found in archaea, bacteria and eukarya as well as chloroplasts and mitochondria. Its best characterised activity is the generation of mature 5'-ends of tRNAs by cleaving the 5'-leader elements of precursor-tRNAs. Lineage: Bacteria; Pseudomonadati; Pseudomonadota; Betaproteobacteria; Burkholderiales; Alcaligenaceae. The record is from Rfam.
GGGGCAGAUCGGGCGAUCGCGGUGCCGUCAGGCAUCGAGGAAGGUCCGGACUCCAUCGGGCGCGAUAGCGGCUAACGGCCGUCCGGCGAUCCUUUCGGGGAAAGCCGAGGAACAGGGCCACAGAGACGAGUCUGCCGCGGGGGUGCGCCGCGAGGUGCACACCGGUACGGCCAUCUCCGUACCGUCCGUCCGGCCCGUCCGGGCGGUCCGCGGCAGGGUGAAACGCGGCAACCUCUAUCGGGAGCAACAUCAAAUAGGCAUGCGCCGGCUUCGUGCCGACAGGGCGGCCCGUCCGAGCAUGCGGGUAGAUGGCUAGAGCGGUCCAGCAAUGGCCCGCCCAGAGGAAUGAUCGCCCGCCGGGGCAACCCGGCGUACAGAAUCCGGCCUACAGAUCUGUUCCGCUU